CAGCAGCCGCGGUAAUACGAAGGUGGCNAGCGUGUUUCGGAAUUAUUGGGCUUAAAGCGCAAGUAGGCGGAUAUGCAAGUGUUUUGUGAAAUCCCCCGGCUAAACCGGGGAAUCGCUUGGCAAACUGCAUAUCUUGAGUCAAGUAGGGGUACAUGGAACUCUUAGUGGAGCGGUGGAAUGCGUAGAUAUUAAGAGGAACGCCAAUGGUGAAGACAGUGUACUGGGCUUGUACUGACGCUGAGGUGCGAAAGCGUGGGGAGCGAACGGGAUUAGAUACCCCGGUAGUCCACGCUGUAAACGAUGUCUACUAGGUUGUGGAGGUUCUGACACUUUCACGAUCGAAGCAAAAGUGUUAAGUAGACCGCCUGGGGAGUACGGUCGCAAGGCUAAAACUCAAAGGAAUUGACGGGGGCUCACACAAGCGGUGGAGCAUGUGGAUUAAUUCGAAGCAACGCGCAGAACCUUACCUGGGUUUGACAUGUAUGGGUGCCUAUCUGGAAACAGAGUCGGCUGCCCUCGGGUGAAACUUACACAGGUGCUGCAUGGCUGUCGUCAGCUCGUGUCGUGAGAUGUCGGGUUAAGUCCUUUAACGAGCGAAACCCUUACCGUUAGUUGCCAGCGCGUCAUGGCGGGGACUCUAGCGGGACUGCCGGUGUCAAACCGGAGGAAGGCGGGGAUGACGUCAAGUCCUCAUGGCCUUUAUGCCCAGGGCUUCACACGUGCUACAAUGGUCACUACAGAGCGAAGCGAGACCGCGAGGUGGAGCAAAUCGCAAAAAAGUGGCCUCAGUUCGGAUUGCAGGCUGACAACUCGCCUGCAUGAAGUGGAAUCGCUAGUA
RNAcentral lists this ribosomal RNA (838 nucleotides) under uncultured organism. RNAcentral describes it as "bacterial SSU rRNA". It matches the Rfam family "Bacterial small subunit ribosomal RNA", at positions 509 to 1340 of the family's 1533-position model. The record is from RNAcentral.